GAUGAACGCUAGCGGCAGGCUUAACACAUGCAAGUCGAGGGGUAACAGGAAAUAGCUUGCUAUUUUGCUGACGACCGGCGCACGGGUGCGUAACGCGUAUAGAACCUACCUUUUACAGGGGAAUAGCCCAGAGAAAUUUGGAUUAAUGCCCCAUAGUAUUAUAGAAUGGCAUCAUUUUAUAAUUAAACAUUUAUGGGUAAAAGAUGGCUAUGCGUUCUAUUAGCUAGAUGGUAAGGUAACGGCUUACCAUGGCGACGAUAGAUAGGGGUCCUGAGAGGGAGAUCCCCCACACUGGUACUGAGACACGGACCAGACUCCUACGGGAGGCAGCAGUGAGGAAUAUUGGACAAUGGAGGCAACUCUGAUCCAGCCAUGCCGCGUGCAGGAAGACGGUCCUAUGGAUUGUAAACUGCUUUUAUACAGGAAGAAACCUCUCCACGUGUGGAGAGCUGACGGUACUGUAAGAAUAAGCACCGGCUAACUCCGUGCCAGCAGCCGCGGUAAUACGGAGGGUGCAAGCGUUAUCCGGAAUCAUUGGGUUUAAAGGGUCCGUAGGCGGACUAAUAAGUCAGGGGUGAAAUCCAACAGCUUAACUGUUGAACUGCCUUUGAUACUGUUAGUCUUGAAUUAUAUGGAAGUAGAUAGAAUGUGUAGUGUAGCGGUGAAAUGCUUAGAGAUUACACAGAAUACCGAUUGCGAAGGCAGUCUACUACGUAUAUAU
Molecule: ribosomal RNA, 721 nt
Filed under: Lutibacter sp.
Lineage: Bacteria; Pseudomonadati; Bacteroidota; Flavobacteriia; Flavobacteriales; Flavobacteriaceae
Description: bacterial SSU rRNA
Rfam family: Bacterial small subunit ribosomal RNA
Source: RNAcentral